Molecule: ribosomal RNA, 465 nt
Filed under: uncultured bacterium
Lineage: Bacteria
Description: partial 16S ribosomal RNA
Rfam family: Bacterial small subunit ribosomal RNA
Source: RNAcentral
CCUACGGGAGGCAGCAGUGGGGAAUAUUGCGCAAUGGGCGAAAGCCUGACGCAGCGACGCCGCGUGAGGGAUGAAGGUCUUCGGAUCGUAAACCUCUGUCAGCAGGGAAGAACGGUCACUGUGCUAAUCAGCAGUGAAUUGACGGUACCUGCAAAGGAAGCACCGGCUAACUCCGUGCCAGCAGCCGCGGUAAUACGGAGGGUGCGAGCGUUAAUCGGAAUUACUGGGCGUAAAGCGCUCGUAGGCGGUAUGUCAAGUCAAGGGUGAAAUCCCCGCGCUCAACGUGGGAACUGCAUUUGAAACUGGCAGGCUGGAGUGUGGGAGAGGGGGGUAGAAUUCCAGGUGUAGGGGUGAAAUGCGUAGAGAUCUGGAGGAACAUCGGUGGCGAAGGCGACUAUCUGGAAGAAGACUGACGCUGAGGUGCGAAAGCGUGGGUAGCAAACAGGAUUAGAUACCCGGGUAGUC